This 1048-nucleotide long non-coding RNA is filed under the name Callithrix jacchus (white-tufted-ear marmoset). RNAcentral's name for it is "lncRNA (ENSCJAG00000084853.1)". Lineage: Eukaryota; Metazoa; Chordata; Mammalia; Primates; Cebidae. The record is from RNAcentral.
UUCUGCUCAUUUCAUAACUCUGGAUGAGCCUCAUUAUAAAAUAAAAUAGUCAAUUAAAAUGUACUCUAUGAAAACUGUAAAAUUCUGAACGGAAAGCAACAGGAUAGAGGUAAGUGGUGAAAAUUUCCAGAAUCCACAGGGAGGUGACAAAGAAAGUGUCACUAAAUCGUUUUGGCAGAGUGAAAAAAGAAAAGAAGUUGAUAUGUUGGGGAGGCAUUUGUCACUCUAACCAGAAAACAAAAGCCACUUUAAGUAUCUUUACAAAGGGAAAUUAAUCGGGGAACUGAUUAUACACAAUGGAAAAGCUAUACAUCCUAAGGGGUCAGGAGGCAAGCCUGAGAUUCCCAGCUGAAGGCUAGAGCACCUUCUCAACCUAGGUACUCCUGACAUUUCCAGUGGGGAACUGUUUGCUGUCAGCAGUUGUCCUGUGUUUCAUCAUGUUUACCCUUCAUCUCUGGCCAUUAUCCACUAAAUGCUGGUAGCAUGCCCCUCCCCAAGUUGUAACAACCUAAAAUAGCUCCAGACAUUGCUAAAUGUCCCUUGAGUAAAUUUGUGUGCAGUGGUGGGGGGUGGGUAGUAGACAGACAUGCCCCCAGAUGAGAACCACUGAUUUUGGAAGGAGCUCACCUCACCACUAAUUGUCUAAGCCUCAGUUUCCACAAAAACUGGAUCUUCCCUGACAUCAUCGUUUAUUAUUCAUGGUGGUAGCUGAUAAGAGGAGAGAUAAUGCAGCCAGGGACAGAUGACUUCAGCUGUCACUCUACAUACCGUCUCCUACACCACAGAGAGCAAGGAAAGACAAUGAGGGUGAGCCUGCAAAUCUCUGACUCAAGAGGACCUGGGUGAGAUGUCACACUGCAAACAGAGGUAAAGGUAGAGUCAGCUCUAUCUGAAACACAGACUGAAUAAGAGAAGAGUGGUUUCCCCAGAGGAAACAUGGGGUAACAAUAAUAAUCAUAUGGAGAGGAAGCAAGGAAAUACUGGGUAGAGAAGGGCGGUUCCCUGGCAAGGGCCUCAUUCUCAUGCCUGGAAACUCACGGGAAUAGGC